CAAAUUAAAACUAAAAUUUUAGUAUUUUAUUUACAAUAAAAAUUUAAUUGUGAAAAUCAAUUUAAUUUGA
This 70-nucleotide transfer RNA is filed under the name Cheumatopsyche charites. RNAcentral's name for it is "tRNA-Val". Lineage: Eukaryota; Metazoa; Arthropoda; Insecta; Trichoptera; Hydropsychidae. The record is from RNAcentral.